GCCCCGCAGUUAUGCGGAGUAAGGGUGAAAAGGUGCGGUAAGAGCGCACCAGUUUCCCGGGUGACCGGGAAAGCUUUGUAAACCCCACCCGGUGCAAGACCAAAUAGGGAAGUGUUUGAGGACGGCCCGUCCAAGCUUCCGGGUAGGUCGCAGGAGAUCCCGGGCAACCGGCGUCCACAGAUGAAUGAUCGUUACCCGGUUUGGGGUAACCCUGACCGGGCACAGAAUUCGGCUUACGGGCUGCUUCGGCCG
This 252-nucleotide RNase P RNA is filed under the name Deltaproteobacteria bacterium. RNAcentral describes it as "partial RNase P RNA component class A". It matches the Rfam family "Bacterial RNase P class A", at positions 128 to 367 of the family's 367-position model. Rfam says of the family: Ribonuclease P (RNase P) is a ubiquitous endoribonuclease, found in archaea, bacteria and eukarya as well as chloroplasts and mitochondria. Lineage: Bacteria; Pseudomonadati; Myxococcota; Myxococcia. The record is from RNAcentral.